GACGAACGCUGGCGGCGUGCUUAACACAUGCAAGUCGAACGAAGAGCGAUGGAAGCUUGCUUCUAUCAAUCUUAGUGGCGAACGGGUGAGUAACGCGUAAUCAACCUGCCCUUCAGAGGGGGACCACAGUUGGAAACGACUGCUAAUACCGCAUACGAUCUAAUCUCGGCAUCGAGGAUAGAUGAAAGGUGGUCUCUACAUGUAAGCUAUCACUGAAGGAGGGGAUUGCGGCUGAUUAGCUAGUUGGAGGGGUAACGGCCCACCAAGGCGAUGAUCAGUAGCCGGUCUGAGAGGAUGAACGGCCACAUUGGGACUGAGACACGGCCCAGACUCCUACGGGAGGCAGCAGUGGGGAAUCUUCCGCAAUGGACGAAAGUCUGACGGAGCAACGCCGCGGGAGUGAUGACGGCCUUCGGGUUGUAAAGCUCUGUUAAUCGGGACGAAGGGCCUUCUUGCGAAUAGUGAGAAGGAUUGACGGUACCGGAAUAGAAAGCCACGGCUAACUACGUG
RNAcentral lists this ribosomal RNA (510 nucleotides) under uncultured bacterium. RNAcentral describes it as "partial 16S ribosomal RNA". It matches the Rfam family "Bacterial small subunit ribosomal RNA", at positions 28 to 507 of the family's 1533-position model. The record is from RNAcentral.